Molecule: long non-coding RNA, 339 nt
Organism: Mytilus trossulus (common blue mussel)
Lineage: Eukaryota; Metazoa; Mollusca; Bivalvia; Mytilida; Mytilidae
Exons: 3
Source: RefSeq, a predicted model, not a curated record
UAUUGUAUAAUAUGUAAUAUGGAGAAUUUAAAUUUUUCAGCACCAUGUUUAAUUUUUGUCACGUGAUUGUUAUUAUCCUCAGCAUUUACCAUGUAUCAAACGCAAGACAACUCACCCGUCAAUGUAUGGCCGACAACGGAAGAUGCGGCAGCAAAAAAGGCUCAUCAUGUGCUAGCGUGUUCGGAUCUGGGUGGAAGGAAAAAGGGAAAUGUUGUAGGAACAAACCAUGUUGCGUGUUUCAUUGUGACGAUAUCCAGCAGGAUCAGCUUCAAAACGGGCAAACAGUUAAUAUUACCGGAACAGAGGUUGGUGCCACUGCAACUUUUUCUUGCAAAGCAG